CCUACGGGAGGCAGCAGUGGGGAAUAUUGCACAAUGGGCGAAAGCCUGAUGCAGCGACGCCGCGUGAGGGAUGACGGCCUUCGGGUUGUAGACCUCUUUCAGCAGGGAAGAAGCGAAAGUGACGGUACCUGCAGAAGAAGCGCCGGCUAACUACGUGCCAGCAGCCGCGGUAAUACGUAGGGCGCAAGCGUUGUCCGGAAUUAUUGGGCGUAAAGAGCUCGUAGGCGGCUUGUCACGUCGGUUGUGAAAGCCCGGGGCUUAACCCCGGGUCUGCAGUCGAUACGGGCAGGCUAGAGUGUGGUAGGGGAGAUCGGAAUUCCUGGUGUAGCGGUGAAAUGCGCAGAUAUCAGGAGGAACACCGGUGGCGAAGGCGGAUCUCUGGGCCAUUACUGACGCUGAGGAGCGAAAGCGUGGGGAGCGAACAGGAUUAGAUACCCUGGUAGUCCACGCCGUAAACGGUGGGAACUAGGUGUUGGCGACAUUCCACGUCGUCGGUGCCGCNGCUACGACAUUAGUUACCCGUCCGUCGGGAGGUACGGCCGCGAGACGUAAACGUUAAAUAGUAAGUUAGUACGGCGUUGAGACGUUGCCGACGGCGACGACGAGGGAGGAGG
Molecule: ribosomal RNA, 614 nt
Filed under: uncultured bacterium
Lineage: Bacteria
Description: bacterial SSU rRNA
Rfam family: Bacterial small subunit ribosomal RNA (bases 1-524)
Source: RNAcentral